This is a small nucleolar RNA of Ornithorhynchus anatinus (platypus), 138 nucleotides long. Lineage: Eukaryota; Metazoa; Chordata; Mammalia; Monotremata; Ornithorhynchidae. The record is from RefSeq and is a predicted model, not a curated record.
CCCCUCUCAGGAUCACACCUGGAGAGUUUUCAGUACUCUACCACUUUCAGCUACAGGAGGUAGAGUCAAGCAGAGGCACACAUAUUCCAUUCCUAGCUUAGACAGUGGCUAGUGAGUGGAAGGAAAUCUGCUACAAGU